Molecule: ribosomal RNA, 402 nt
Filed under: uncultured Bryobacter sp.
Lineage: Bacteria; Pseudomonadati; Acidobacteriota; Terriglobia; Bryobacterales; Bryobacteraceae
Description: bacterial SSU rRNA
Rfam family: Bacterial small subunit ribosomal RNA
Source: RNAcentral
UGGGGAAUCUUGCACAAUGGAGGAAACUCUGAUGCAGCGACGCCGCGUGAGUGAUGAAGCCCUUCGGGGUGUAAAGCUCUUUCGACCCGGAAGAUAAUGACGGUACGGGGAGAAGAAGCUGCGGCUAACUACGUGCCAGCAGCCGCGGUAAUACGUAGGCAGCGAGCGUUGUUCGGAGUUACUGGGCGUAAAGCGUGCGUAGGCGGUGUCUUAAGUUUGUUGUGAAAUCUCCCGGCUUAACCGGGAGGGUGCGGCGAAUACUGAGAUGCUGGAGUGCCGGAGAGGUAAGCGGAAUUCCUGGUGUAGCGGUGAAAUGCGUAGAUAUCAGGAGGAACACCUGCGGUGUAGACGGCUUACUGGACGGUAACUGACGCUGAGGCACGAAAGCGUGGGUAGCAAACA